AAAACAUAGCCUUACGAAAAUAAAUGUAAGGUACCUCCUGCCCAGUGAAAUUUCAACGGCCGCAGUACUCUGACUGUGCAAAGGUAGCAUAAUCACUUGCCUUUUAAUUGAAGGCUGGAAUGAACGGACUCACGUAAAUAGCCCUGUCUCUAUUAUACCAAUAUAAACUAGAACUUAGGUGAAAAUACCUAAAUAUAAAUAAAGGACAAAAAGACCCUAUAGAGCUGCAUUCAUAAUAGCUUAUAAAAUACAAUAUACUGUACAUACUACCCUAUGAAUUUUGUUGGGGCGACAAAGGAAUAUAAAAAUCUUCCUUAAUUAUAAAGAUAAACACAUCAACUAAAAGAUCCUAUAUAGAUCACAGGAAAAAGCUACCUUAGGGAUAACAGACUAAUCUCCUUAGAGAGUUCAAAUUGACAAGGAGGAUUGGCACCUCGAUGUUGGCUUAAGAUAUCCUUUAGGUGCAGAAGCCUAAAAGGGUUGGUUUGUUCAACCAUUAAAAUCUUACAUGAUCUGA
RNAcentral lists this ribosomal RNA (517 nucleotides) under Glyceridae sp. SP-2014. Its description in RNAcentral is "partial 16S ribosomal RNA". It matches the Rfam family "Bacterial large subunit ribosomal RNA", at positions 1810 to 2608 of the family's 2925-position model. Lineage: Eukaryota; Metazoa; Annelida; Polychaeta; Phyllodocida; Glyceridae. The record is from RNAcentral.